CCUACGGGAGGCAGCAGUGAGGAAUAUUGGUCAAUGGACGGAAGUCUGAACCAGCCAUGCCGCGUGCAGGAAGACGUCUCUAUGAGUUGUACACUGCUUUUGUCCAAGGGUAAACCUGAAUACGUGUAUUCAGCUGACAGUACUUUACGAAUAAAGAUCUGCUAACUCCGUGCCAGCAACCGCGGUAAUACGGAGGAUCCAAGCGUUAUCCGGAUUUCUUGGGUUUAAAGGGUGCGUAGGCGGAUUGAUAAGUUAGAGGUGAAAUGUCCGAGCUUAACUCGGGAACUGCCUCUACUACUGUUGAUCUAGAGAGUAGAUGCGGUAGGCGGAAUGUAUGGGGUAGCGGGGAAAGGCUUAGAGAUCAUACAGAACACCGAUUGCGAAGGCAGCUUACCAAUCUAUAUCUGACGUUGAGGCACGAAAGCGUGGGGAGCAAACAGGAUUAGAUACCCUUGUAGUC
RNAcentral lists this ribosomal RNA (460 nucleotides) under uncultured bacterium. RNAcentral describes it as "partial 16S ribosomal RNA". It matches the Rfam family "Bacterial small subunit ribosomal RNA", at positions 338 to 795 of the family's 1533-position model. The record is from RNAcentral.